GUAUAAAAGUGGCUUUGUUGUUGGACCUGCACAUUUUUACAAGACAAUAAGCCUCUUACCACUGCCCAAGAGGGUUGUUUUUCUGUUUUCUGAGGCUUCUGGUGGUGGUGGCUUACAUGCUUAGUUACUGUUGGUUUAAGAGGUUUUGGUUUGCUCAUUGUUGAAAAAGUUUGCUUCUUUUUCUGCUUGAGACUUCAGCCUAACAAAUAAUGGCUAAUGCCUUAAAUUGCAGCAGAUUGGGACUUGGGAUUUGAAGCAUUGUUUUUGUUUUGUCUAGUGUUAGAAUAUUUUUUCACAAGUGUUGGGUCUAUGAAGCUUUGGAGGAAUCUAUAGUUAUUGUUUCUUGGGAGAUAUUAGAGAUGUAUGAUCUAUCAUGAUGUGGUAUCUAGCUAUUGGUUUUUUUCUUGAUUCAAGAGUUUUUUUUUUUUCUUUGAAUUAAUGGGAAAGUAAAGAGAUGUGGCCUACUACUGGUCCCCUUCUUUUCAUGAUUUGGCUGUCCUAUUUGUAAUUAAGAAGUUGUUAAAUAUCAUACUCACCAUCUUUUUUUGCCUCAA
This is a non-coding RNA of Arachis ipaensis, 554 nucleotides long. The record is from RefSeq and is a predicted model, not a curated record. NCBI's taxonomy places the organism in Eukaryota, Viridiplantae, Streptophyta, Magnoliopsida, Fabales, Fabaceae.